GGGCAAGUCUCUUACGACCAGCUCCCGCUGAACCCCCCAGGGCCGGAAGGCAGCAAGGGUAAGCGGUUGAGCGGUGCGAUAAGAAUCGCUUGCCCCUU
This 98-nucleotide signal recognition particle RNA is filed under the name Flavobacteriales bacterium. RNAcentral describes it as "signal recognition particle sRNA small type". It matches the Rfam family "Bacteroidales small SRP". Rfam says of the family: The non-coding component of the signal recognition particle in Bacteroides The record is from RNAcentral. Lineage: Bacteria; Pseudomonadati; Bacteroidota; Flavobacteriia; Flavobacteriales.